RNAcentral lists this ribosomal RNA (943 nucleotides) under uncultured Campylobacterota bacterium. RNAcentral's name for it is "bacterial SSU rRNA". It matches the Rfam family "Bacterial small subunit ribosomal RNA", at positions 546 to 1502 of the family's 1533-position model. Lineage: Bacteria; Pseudomonadati; Campylobacterota. The record is from RNAcentral.
UGGAAUCACUGGGGUAAGGGUGAUAGGCGGCUUUAAGUCAGAUGGGGAAUCCAAUGGCUAAACCAUGAACUCAUUUGAAACUGGGAGCUAGAGUUCAGAAGGGGCAGAUGGAAUUAGUGGUGUAGGGGUAAAUCCGUAGAUAUCACUAGGAAUAUCAAAAGCGAAGGCGAUCUGCUGGGAUGUACUGACGCUGAGGACGAAAGCGUGGGGAGCAAACAGGAUUAGAUACCCUGGUAGUCCACGCCCUAAACGAUGAAUGCUAGUCGUCGGGGAGCUCGUCUCUUCGGUGAUGCACUUAACAGAUUAAGCAUUCCGCCUGGGGAGUACGGUCGCAAGAUUAAAACUCAAAGGAAUAGACGGGGACCCGCACAAGUGGUGGAGCAUGUGGUUUAAUUCGAAGAUACACGAAGAACCUUACCUGGCCUUGACAUGGUAGGAACCCUUAAGAGAUUAGGGGGUGCUAGCUUGCUAGAACCUACACACAGGUGCUGCACGGCUGUCGUCAGCUCGUGUCGUGAGAUGUUGGGUUAAGUCCCGCAACGAGCGCAACCCUCGUCUUUAGUUGCUAACAGUUUGGCUGAGCACUCUAAAGAGACUGCCUUCGUAAGGAGGAGGAAGGUGAGGACGACGUCAAGUCAUCAUGAAAACGACGGCCAGGGCUACACACGUGCUACAAUGGGGCGUACAAAGAGCUGCAAUACCGCGAGGUGGAGCCAAUCUCUUAAAGCGUCUCUCAGUUCGGAUUGUUCUCUGCAACUCGAGAACAUGAAGCUGGAAUCACUAGUAAUCGUAGAUCAGCUAUGCUACGGUGAAUACGUUCCCGGGUCUUGUACUCACCGCCCGUCACACCAUGGGAGUUGAUUUCACCCGAAAUCGGGAUGCCAAACUGGCUACCGCUUACGGUGGAAUUAGCGACUGGGGUGAAGUCGUAACAAGGUAACCA